AUGCUGUUGCUGUUAAAAAGCUCGUAGUUGGAUCAAGAGUUCGACAGUGCAAGGUGGCCUCGCUUGUGCAGUUGGCUCCGGUCAUCUGUACGGCGGCGGAUCAACCCCUUGCGCCAAACUGUCGUCUCUAACAGACCGAAGCGGUUCCCUGUGAGUAGGCCACUUUAUUGGGGCUGAAAGCGUUUACGCAUUCACCAUAUGCAUACGGGACGUCGGUCAAAGUUACUGUGAACAAACCAGCGUGUCCAAAACAGGCUUCGCCUGAAUGUUCGAGCAUGGAAUAACAAGGGAUCGAUUCUCUCGGUUCUUUUGUUGGGUUUUAACCUGAGAAUGAGUAAUUCAGGCCAAGGUGUCUGGGCUGGGUUCCCCU
Molecule: ribosomal RNA, 370 nt
Filed under: uncultured marine eukaryote
Lineage: Eukaryota
Description: bacterial SSU rRNA
Rfam family: Eukaryotic small subunit ribosomal RNA
Source: RNAcentral